Long non-coding RNA from Carassius auratus (goldfish), 821 nucleotides. RefSeq lists it as uncharacterized. NCBI's taxonomy places the organism in Eukaryota, Metazoa, Chordata, Actinopteri, Cypriniformes, Cyprinidae. The record is from RefSeq and is a predicted model, not a curated record. The transcript has 6 exons.
CGCUUGCUGCUGUCUGAGGAAGGGAAGGAGCAGCUGAUGUUUGAGGUCCCUCUCAACGAUUCGGGCUCAGCUGGGUAAGGGAUCAGCCUGAAGAGUAAUAAGACCCGUGAGACUGGCGAGGUGCAGUUUUUAGGGAAGGGCGUCUACGUGUCAAUGACCAGCUGAUUGCCGUUAAUAGUGAGACUCUUUUGGGGAAGUCCAACCAUGAGGUCAUGGAGACCCUGCGAAACUUAGAGGAAUGAUCCAGUUGGUUGUACUCCAGCUUCAAGCACCACCUACCCAAGAGUUCCAGGAAGCAUGGCAAAUUCUCAAUCGAUCAUUUGAUAGCUGCGUGGGGCAGGCAUGGUAGCUCGGCCAAUCAGAUGGCAGCACUCAGCCCCCCAGUGGUGAUGAACAGCAUCUAAGAGAGAUAUACAGUUUCAAAUGGGGGAUACGGUCACGUGGAAGAGGGGGAUGAUGAAGGCUUCACUGCAAAUCCUCAUAGACAGGACAGCCUGAAGCUCCAGCAGAGGUCUUCAUUCAGCUGACACUUCUUUGACUGAUGGAGGUCAGCAGGGUCAUACUGAGCAGAAUCAUUUGAAGUCAUCUAAGAGCAUGGAUCUAGAUGAGAGGUCGGACCAGAGCUCUGGGCGAGAUACUCCAGCCAGCGAAUCCUCCAGACAAGAUACGGGAGACAAUGAGGAGAACAAGAAAGACAAGAAGAAGAAGGCCAAAGGCAAGAUGAAAGACAAGUUGAAAAACAAAGGGAAGGAGUGAGAGAAAAAGAAAUCAGAGGAAGUGAUGAGCUGGAUAAGAAGUCCAAGAAGAAAGGAUUUCGGGUU